UGUCGGCGGCCCUUCAGAGGAGAUGCUGCCCCACGGAACGCCUGGCAAGUGCUGGCGAAGCGGCAUGGGCGUCCCACUCCGUUCCUCAACCAAUUUCCUCACAAUCGCGAGCCGAAGUGUGGCGCUUUGGCAGUUUCGCAAGGUCUUUUGUCAGGAGAUGAGUUACUGAGGAUUGGGGGUCUUUGGAGCUCUUGGACCUGAAGAACGAUUAAGUUUUUCUCCCUUCAGAGAGCCAAGAGAUGGGGUCUUGCUGUGUUGCCCAGGGUGGAGUGCAGUGGCUAUUCACAGGUGUGAUCAUAGCUACUAUAGCCUCAAACCCUGGGUUCAAGUGAGUCCUUUGAACUAGAACAUUGGCCUUUUCUGGUUCUGCAGAAGCUUCCAGCCUUCAGAUUUGAACUGGGACACUGGCUCUGCAGAUUUUGGACUUGCCAGCCUUCAUAAUUGUAUCGCUACCUUGAUUUGCUGUUGCAGCCUUUUCAAUGUCUUUACAAGUUCGCUGUUGUUCUUGUUGGCGUGGUCCAGCUGGAUUUCCAUCUCAUUCAGGUCCGUCUCCAUCUUCUUCUUGAGCCGAAGUGCCUCUGCCCGGCCCUUGGCCUCUGCCUCUAGGCUGGCCUGCAAGGACUCGAUUGCCCGCUGGUGGUUCUUCCUAACCUACACUCCUGUCAUUUGUGGAAUGAUUGCUGGAGCCAGAGGCCAGGAAGAAGUUCAUGAGCCUGAGAGAAAAAGCAAGGAUUUCCAGUUCUACCCUCUUGGACUUGACCCUCUGCAGGCUCUCCACAUGCUCCGUCAGCUCGGCCAUGGAGUCCACGUGCUUCUUGCGCAGUGUGGAGGCCGUCGCCUCGCUCUGCAGGGCGGCCUCUUCCAGCUCCCGCCGCAGCUUCAGCAGCUCAGCCUCCCGCUUGCGGUUCUGCUCGAUCUGGGGUAGAGGAGGAGCAGCUUAGCAGAACUGGCCAGUGCCAGCCUUUUCCGGGUGGACACCGCCCAGCUGCUCGGUGGUCCCC
Homo sapiens (human) is the source of this 1001-nucleotide long non-coding RNA. NCBI's taxonomy places the organism in Eukaryota, Metazoa, Chordata, Mammalia, Primates, Hominidae. The record is from Ensembl.